Molecule: long non-coding RNA, 1525 nt
Organism: Dermochelys coriacea (leatherback sea turtle)
Lineage: Eukaryota; Metazoa; Chordata; Testudines; Dermochelyidae
Exons: 3
Source: RefSeq, a predicted model, not a curated record
ACAGGGAGUCCUAGGGAGAAGACUGGCUUCCUAGGGGACUAUAGCAAGCCUAGCAUCUGGGAAAGGGCAGGUGCUAGCAAGGACUGAGCUAAUUCCCAAAAUGCCCAGCAGGAGGUGCUAGUAUGGUAACCCCUGUGUGCAGCACUGUGAAAGCCAGGACCUCCGAGAGAACUGCUGACUUGUUACACCCUAAUUACCUUCAUUUCGGAGGUUGUGAAAUGGAAGCACAUGGAGGGAUUGCAAACAUACCCUACCUCUGACCUGCAACACUCCUUGCUAUUCUAGCCCUGGAUCGCUCAGCUGAUGUCCCACAACUCUGACUUGCAUCAUCCCUUGCUAUUCCUAUCCACUGCCCCUCCCUCACAGAGACUGGCAAUCUUGCCCUAUUGUUCGUUAGAUUUUUGAAGCGAACAAUUAUCCUCUGGGGCCAAGGCUAAAAUUGCCACUUAGCUAGGGAUUUUUAACCUCCUGAGUAGUCCUCCUAAAUGUCAACAAUGUGGUGCCUGGGUUGUAAAAGUGGUGAUGGUGGAUGGCGUUUGCUUUUUAAGGUUGAGAGUCCAGGAAAUCGUGUCUGCAUCCCCAACCGUGAUGCAAUCCUGCUUCAUCUGCUCUGAGCAACUCAAUAUCUGUCUACAUGAGGCAAAUGGAGGCAAAGGUGCAAAAUUCAAGUGCUGAGAAAUUUGGGCAACAUCAGGUAAUGGUGCUGAGAGCACCUGCUGCCCUGCCUGACUACUGAAUGCAAGAAGAUUGGACACCACAUAUAGAAAGCCGGGGAAAUGCAGGAAGAGUCAUAGAUGUUACAAGAUGGAAACCUCUACUGGGCCCUAUUUGCUCUAUCAAGUCCUUGCCAGUCCAGUCUUUCACCAGCCAAUGCAAGAUUGUUCUCUUAUCCAUUUAUCCAACCUAGCUUUACAAGUCCCAAGUGAUGCAUCCACAAGCUUUUCCCUUGGGAAACUGUCUGAGGGAGGGGUCAGGCGCUACUGAGCCAGGAAGCAAGCAGGGGAAUGAUGACUCUGGGACUCCAAAACCAAAGUCACGUGCAGAGGAAAGAGCCAUGGAUGCUCUGCAGCAUGAGGAAUAGGUCUGGGAUAAUAUCAGAAAUCCAUGCAGGAGCUGUAGAGGGGAGAGAGAGAGAGAGGAAGGCAGCUGGGAGGUCAGCAUGGAAAGACACUAGAGAAGAACCAAUGCAGCAGGAAGGGGGAGAAUCGGCCCCCAUGUGAAGCCCAUCAACACUAGGAACUGGCACAGGAGAUCCCAGGUCAGAAAGAUGGGGAAAUGCUUCUAACUUGCACCUUCACAGUGCGAUUCCCUUCUGGGCUUUCCUUGCUGCCUUAGGCUCCUUCAGUUCCCCAGUAAACUCUGAUUUACUUUAACCUUGAAUAAAUGCAAAGAACUGGAAGAGAACAGGUUUGUGGUUUUAAUUGGGUAGCAAUCAGGUUUUGCCCUCUGUGUUGAGAUACCCCUUUUGCUCUGGCUUCUAGGAAAGCCCAUGUAAAAACUAAUCUAUGUCCCUUAGGAAUAAGCC